Molecule: long non-coding RNA, 1009 nt
Organism: Pseudophryne corroboree (corroboree frog)
Lineage: Eukaryota; Metazoa; Chordata; Amphibia; Anura; Myobatrachidae
Exons: 6
Source: RefSeq, a predicted model, not a curated record
CGGAGCACAGCAGAUGCUGCUGAGGAGUUCCUGCACUGAUCAGGAUUCUCCUCAGCGUUACAGCAGGGCGCACCACAGCUUCAGCAGCUGAUACAAUUGGACCAGCAAUCCCCCUAACUACAAAUACUGUAUGUGGGCAAACAGUAGUGAUCAAGAAGGCUACAUAACAAUAAACACCCACUGGAAUGAUGUAGCACCUGAAGCAUCUUAAUCAACAUCAUCAUCAUCAUCAUCAUCAACAUCAACUGCAACAUCAUCUUUGGAAGCACCAGGGGAUCAUUAUCCUUAGAAGCACUUAGAGCAUCAUCAUCAUUUUCUCAAUAUAGAAACUCUGCACACAAUAUUCAAUGCACCUAAAAUAAGAAACAUUCCCGUAUAUGAAGGACCAAUCAUCUUUGGGACAAUGGAACAAUGAGAAUUGGUUUCAUCCGCUCAGAAGGAACAUUAUCAGAAAUGUAUACAGUAUAUGUUGUUCAGGAAGAUAAGCAUUAGUCAGCGCAAGCAAUUUUUUAAUUUCUGGCCAGUGCUGAGCACCUGCAGCAGAUGGCUCAGGUGCUGCCCAGCUCCUGCUGCCCCCGGCUAUGCGUAGCAUGAUGUCAGAGGUCAUGCUGCACAGCCUAACACCAGUUACCCGGCAAGUGAGGAGGGUGAGUGACUGCAGGCCAUGAGCUGAUUUGUUUGGGCCAAUGCCAGCCACACCGCCAGCCUGCACCAUGCACCAUGAGAGAGGAGGACUUGUCCUCUCAGUUCCUGAAGUUGCGUGGGAUGUACACCGUUGGGGAUUCAUCUACAACUUUCAGAAGCUCCAGAGUCUAAAAUAUAUGGAUUUUGCCUGGAGACACAUUCAUAGGAGCAGUGCUCAAGGACAAUUUAACAUGAGACACAUGAAAAGUAGGAUGGACAUUUCUCAUAGAUAAUGGUACUUGCAACUUCAUUGUGACUGGAGAGGGAACUGACAAAUAAAUAAAAGGUCCAAAAAAUGUAUUAGCACAUUUUGGAGAAAGAAGAA